Molecule: ribosomal RNA, 401 nt
Filed under: Gastrotricha sp. MM01092
Lineage: Eukaryota; Metazoa; Gastrotricha
Also listed under: 1 other name
Description: SSU rRNA
Rfam family: Eukaryotic small subunit ribosomal RNA
Source: RNAcentral
CAAUAGCGUAUACUAAAGUUGUUGCGUUUAAAAAGCUCGUAGUUGGAUCUCGGGCCAGGAUCGGCGGUCCACCGUACGGUUGUGACUGCCGACUCCUGCCUACUUUUCGGCUCUCUCUUGAUGUCCUUCACUGGGUGUCUUGAGUGGCCGGAGCGUUUACCUUGAAAAAAUUAGAGUGUUCAAGGCGGGCAAUUGCCUGAAUAAUGUUGCAUGGAAUAAUGGAAUAGGACCUCGGUUCUAUUUUGUUGGUUUUCGGAAGCUGAGGUAAUGAUUAAGAGGAACAGACGGGGGCAUUCGUAUUGCGCCGUUAGAGGUGAAAUUCUUGGAUCGGCGCAAGACGAACUACAGCGAAGGCAUUUGCCAAGAAUGUUUCCAUUGAUCAAGAACGAAAGUCAGAGGUU